UUCCGUCGGAAUCUGGGAGGACCAUCUCCUAAGGCUAAAUACUCUCUAGUGACCGAUAGUGAACCAGUACCGUGAGGGAAAGGUGAAAAGCACCCCGGAAGGGGAGUGAAAUAGAACCUGAAACCGUGUGCUUACAAGUAGUCAGAGCCCGUUAAUGGGUGAUGGCGUGCCUUUUGUAGAAUGAACCGGCGAGUUACGAUUUGAUGCAAGGUUAAGCAGUAAAUGUGGAGCCGUAGCGAAAGCGAGUCUGAAUAGGGCGUUUAGUAUUUGGUCGUAGACCCGAAACCAGGUGAUCUACCCUUGGUCAGGUUGAAGUUCAGGUAACACUGAAUGGAGGACCGAACCGACUUACGUUGAAAAGUGAGCGGAUGAACUGAGGGUAGCGGAGAAAUUCCAAUCGAACCUGGAGAUAGCUGGUUCUCUCCGAAAUAGCUUUAGGGCUAGCCUCAAGUGAUGAUUAUUGGAGGUAGAGCACUGUUUGGACGAGGGGCCCCUCUCGGGUUACCGAAUUCAGACAAACUCCGAAUGCCAAUUAAUUUAACUUGGGAGUCAGAACAUGGGUGAUAAGGUCCGUGUUCGAAAGGGAAACAGCCCAGACCACCAGCUAAGGUCCCAAAAUAUAUGUUAAGUGGAAAAGGAUGUGGCGUUGCCCAGACAACUAGGAUGUUGGCUUAGAAGCAGCCAUCAUUUAAAGAGUGCGUAAUAGCUCACUAGUCGAGUGACACUGCGCCGAAAAUGUACCGGGGCUAAACAUAUUACCGAAGCUGUGGAUUGUCCUUUGGACAAUGGUAGGAGAGCGUUCUAAGGGCGUUGAAGCAUGAUCGUAAGGACAUGUGGAGCGCUUAGAAGUGAGAAUGCCGGUGUGAGUAGCGAAAGACGGGUGAGAAUCCCGUCCACCGAUUGACUAAGGUUUCCAGAGGAAGGCUCGUCCGCUCUGGGUUAGUCGGGUCCUAAGCUGAGGCCGACAGGCGUAGGCGAUGGAUAACAGGUUGAUAUUCCUGUACCACCUAUA
Molecule: ribosomal RNA, 1012 nt
Filed under: Staphylococcus aureus
Lineage: Bacteria; Bacillati; Bacillota; Bacilli; Caryophanales; Staphylococcaceae
Description: partial 23S ribosomal RNA
Rfam family: Bacterial large subunit ribosomal RNA
Source: RNAcentral